This 65-nucleotide transfer RNA is filed under the name Synechococcus sp. CCY0421. RNAcentral describes it as "partial tRNA-Ala". It matches the Rfam family "tRNA", at positions 9 to 71 of the family's 71-position model. From Rfam's summary of the family: Transfer RNA (tRNA) molecules are approximately 80 nucleotides in length. The record is from RNAcentral. Lineage: Bacteria; Bacillati; Cyanobacteriota; Cyanophyceae; Synechococcales; Synechococcaceae.
AGCUCAGUUGGUAGAGCGCCUGCUUUGCAAGCAGGAUGUCAGCGGUUCGAGUCCGCUAACCUCCA